Long non-coding RNA from Triticum aestivum (bread wheat), 1575 nucleotides. RefSeq lists it as uncharacterized. The record is from RefSeq and is a predicted model, not a curated record. Lineage: Eukaryota; Viridiplantae; Streptophyta; Magnoliopsida; Poales; Poaceae. The transcript has 2 exons.
CUAUUUUCGGAAAGCAAAGGGACUUUUUUUUAUAAAAACGCCGCGACGGUGAACCCGGAGACCUAAUCCGUGCUUUAUUAUCAGGGAGAGAUAACAAAAACCACUUAUUUUGAUAACACCUCCUAACCUCAGCCCACCCACCCACGCACGCACUUGCCUCUACAUCUCUUCCUCCCCUGUCCCCUCGAUCCCCUCCGCCUCCACCACCAUUCUUCCCCCCAGCCAGCUCCCCGCACCACCAACCCCAGCGCGCUGCUGGCCAUCCCCCCAUCCCUCACCCCCACGCCCCAGAUCCGUCGCCCGGAUGCGCGAUAGGAGCAGUUACUAGCCCGGAUGUGUCGCCGGGAGCCUACCACCCCGGCAUCCUCCUCCCGUGAGCCGGCCACGGGAUCCGGGCCUCCCCCGACCCGCCUCGCGACCUACCUCCCUCGCGCUGGCCUGCACCACCUCCGUCCAGCCGCCGUCCCCCGACACACGCGCCGCCGCCACAGACCUUCGGAUCUUGGCCGCCGCCAGCCCACCGUGCCACACCGGCACCUCCCCGGUCAUCUACUUCCUCGCAGGCCGCAUGGCGGGUCGCUGGCUCCGGCCCGCACCACUUCUGCGUCCCUCGGGUGCCGCCUCUCCCGGAUGGAGGUCUACCUGCGCCGCACCUAGGGACACAGAGGAGGCAGAGGCUCUAAGCCGCUAGCCUUCCUCACCUGCAGCACCUGGGGAGUGAGCAGCACGCCAGCUAGGAGAGAAGCGAGAGCACCGCCACUCCUCACCUCCCUCGCUUGGUUCUUGCAGUUCGGUUGCGCACACCCAUGCGGUUUGUCCCUGCUAGCACCCAUGUUGUCUUAUAUGCAUCGGAUACGACAAGCUCUAUCACCACGCGCCGGCGGCCGGAUCCCCACCUGCGCGUGUGCAGCCGGACUCCUUCCUCCACCGCAAAUCUGACCCCCUCCGCCUCCUUCUCAUUCAGUGCGUUGAUGCAGUUCGUUGAGGGCGAGCCCUCGCAGUCUCCGGCAUGUGUCGUGCAGUGCGGUGCACGCAUUCAUGCAGUCCGGUGGCGGUGCCGAUGUAAGAAGUGCGGUUAGCAGUUUGUCGCCAAUCAACCCCCUCCUACUCCGUUCGAGCUCCUUGCCGUGAUCAGGCCGUGGGCUCCUCAAUGGCGCCGGAGUGGACGGAUGGGUCCAGGAUGGCGAUGGCUCCGGUUGCCCAGGGCGAGGGUCCCCUCUCUACAGCUCACUAAAGUUUGUUUUGUAGCUCACUGAAGUUUGCUUUGCAGCUCGCUUGCUGGUACAGUGCAUUGGCAACGCCUUCGUGCAGUUGAAGCAACGUGUGCGUGCAGUACGUCCGGCGAGUGCGUGUGGUUCAGCGGCUAAAAGCAUUUGCAUUCUCCCUAUGUUAAUGUGUGUGGUUCAAUGCAUUUUAUAAAAAGUGCAGCAGGGUUGUAUUUUGUGUGUGAUUGUACUGUGGAGAUAGAAAAAAAGACUAUUUAUGUGGAUUAUUCAGUUUGUAAAAUCUUUUCUUUGUAAAAGCAGUGCGCUCAAUGAACCGAAGAAGUACAUUUUUCAAAGUUCAUUAUCAAAA